RNAcentral lists this ribosomal RNA (468 nucleotides) under uncultured bacterium. Its description in RNAcentral is "partial 16S ribosomal RNA". It matches the Rfam family "Bacterial small subunit ribosomal RNA", at positions 28 to 507 of the family's 1533-position model. The record is from RNAcentral.
GACGAACGCUGGCGGCGUGCUUAACACAUGCAAGUCGAACGGAAAGGCCCUGCUUUUGUUGGGUGCUCGAUUGGCGAACGGGUGAGUAACACGUGAGUAACCUGCCCUUGACUUUGGGAUAACUUCAGGAAACUGGGGCUAAUACCGGAUAGGAGCUCCUGCUGCAUGGUGGGGGUUGGAAAGUUUCGGCUGUUGGGGAUGGACUCGCAGCUUAUCAGCUUGUUGGUGGGGUAGUUGCUUACCAAGGCUUUGACGGGUAGCCGGCCUGAGAGGGUGACCGGCCACAUUGGGACUGAGAUACGGACCAGAAUGCUACGGGAGGCAGCAGUGGGGAAUAUUGCACAAUGGGCGGAAGCCUGAUGCAGCAACGCCGCGUGCGGGAUGACGGCCUUCGGGUUGUAAACCGCUUUCGCCUGUGACGAAGCGUGAGUGACGGUAAUGGGUAAAGAAGCACCGGCUAACUACGUG